ACUCGUUGCAAGUUCCCGAGAGGAUCCGUACGAACGGAGAUGCCUUGUAACCGAAUUUAACUAGGGGGAAUCAUAAUUAUG
This is a non-coding RNA of Enterococcus mundtii, 81 nucleotides long. The record is from Rfam. Lineage: Bacteria; Bacillati; Bacillota; Bacilli; Lactobacillales; Enterococcaceae.